CCAAGGAGUCUAACAUGUGCGCGAGUCAAUGGGAUUGCUUUGGCUAAACCCACGGGCGAAAUGAAAGUGAGGUUCCUCUCAAAGGGGAUGUAGCGGGAUCCGUCGGGAGUCUGCGGACCCCGCGGCGCACCGCCGGCCCGUCUCGACCGCAUCGCCGGUGAGGCGGAGCACGAGCGUACACGUUGGGACCCGAAAGAUGGUGAACUAUGCCUGGGCAGGACGAAGCCAGAGGAAACUCUGGUGGAGGUCCGUAGCGAUUCUGACGUGCAAAUCGAUCGUCGGACCUGGGUAUAGGGGCGAAAGACUAAUCGAACCGUCUA
RNAcentral lists this ribosomal RNA (320 nucleotides) under Anopsobius giribeti. RNAcentral's name for it is "eukaryotic LSU rRNA". It matches the Rfam family "Eukaryotic large subunit ribosomal RNA", at positions 666 to 946 of the family's 3401-position model. Lineage: Eukaryota; Metazoa; Arthropoda; Chilopoda; Lithobiomorpha; Henicopidae. The record is from RNAcentral.